CUGAAUACAUAGAUUGUUGAUACAUAGAUUAACAUAAAUACAUAGAUAAAUCAGAAAUUCCUUUAACUUUUCUCUUAUUUAUAAUUUUUUUAUAAAUUCAAUUAUUAAAUUGAAUUCAAACUAAAAGAAACCAACUAAUCUGAAUCUGCAACCUAUCGCACAAACAACAUGUUCACCAUCUUUUCCAAACUUUGAAAUUUCAUCUUACAACAUUCAAAUUUAGUGUUAUGAAGAAUUCAUAAGUAAUUCAAAAGCAACAAUACCUCUAUUUCUAUCAAUACCAGAUAUAGAACCCAAACAUGGAGUUAGGAAGCCAAUCAAUACAAUAAAUAGUUCAAUACUUAUGAACUCCAAAUGACGAUAUGGGCAUGUAUUUAGUGCAAGGGCAACAAACCCAAAAUAGAGGAAUUAGGAUUUUCUACUUGAGAUAAGUUCGACUAAAGUGGAUCGAAAGCUCAGAACAAAUCAGUAACAUAUAACAUCACCGCCUUAACCAUAAACACCACCGUCGCCCCCAUAAUCGCCACCGCCUAAACCGCCUCCAUAACCUCCACCUUUAUGGCGACCACCUCUGUAACCAUCACUACGUCCAUAGCCACCAUCACGACGUCUACUGUUUAUCAACCACCUCCACCUCCACCUCCGUAGCCUUCUCAUUCUUCAACGUUGUGAAUUCGAAGACUCUAGAUAUGCACAUUAAAGAAGACAAAAUAAUUAGAUCUGACUAGAUCUUAAUCAACAAACACAAAAAAAGGAUGUAUAUAUCCAUACAUAUGACCAAAAUUCGAAGAUCAAUGUUAUUUGUUUGCUAUUUAUUACUUGCUUUAGGUAUUUGAAAAUUGAAAAUUUGGGUUUUGCAUGUUUGGGUUAUUUUUAUUAUUAUGAUAGUUCUAAUCAUGUAUGGAAGUGCUUCUAAAUUAAAUGAAUCAUGAUAACGUGACAAUGAUUAGGAUUAACCCACGUGAAAUGAGUAAUGUGGACUUGGAUGUGGGGUCAUUCUUUUAUGUGUAAUAGGUUUAUGUUAAAAGUCAACUCAUUUAACGGAUUUUGUAACGAUUUGACAAACAUUUGUAGUUCACUGACUCGAUUAUUAAAAUUUUCAGUCCAGUGAUUCAUUUGUAAACGGAGAUCGAGUACAGUGGGAAAAAGUGGAUUUAACCCAACCUGUUUAUAUUAGUUUUAAGAAGUAAAAAGUGUUUGGUAAACUGAUUUUAGAACUGCUUAUAAUCACUUUUUAUGGAAAUAAUCUGAUUAUUUGCCAAAUCAAAUAAUCAGGUUUGACAAGUAUAUUACUAAUUUAUGCCUAUUUAUUUUAAUAAUUCUAUCAAUUAACCGUAUUUACUUUUCAAAACAUUCAUUUUUAGUAAUUUACACUUGAAAUAAGUGAUUAACAAAUUUUUUUAUACAAAGCAUUUUUCACUUCUUACUAGUUUAAGUGUUUUUUUAUUUACCAAACACAAACUACUUUUUGAAAACCGAUUAUAAGAUCACUAAUCACAUUUUUUUAGAGCUGCUUUGUUUUUUAAUUUUUGUUGGUCUUUUAAGCUACAGUGUUAUUGGGGUGUUUUUUAGCUUGUUAACACUUGGAAACAUUAUUAGAAGUCGUUGAACUUCUUUGCAUCAUCACAAUCAAUGUACUUUGCUUCAUCAAGCUGAGAAGUACUAGAACUACCAAACUUAACCUCCCUCCGUCUUAAUUGUAGUGACUGCCACUUAGUGGUGCACAAAUGGCCUGCGGCCUGGAGCCUGGCCUUAAUCCCACCUGAGCCCGACCUGGUCAAAGCUCGGCCUGGACCGGUCAUGCCCGACCUGCUAGACCAAGAACAGACCAUAAUUCAUGACUCGUAUCUGGCCUGGCCUAGCCUUCCAAAAAGUCAAGCCUGGCCUACGGCCUGGUUUGUAGCCUGGGUCAUAUUAGCAAGUUUUUUUAUAAGGAAAUCCUCCUUAUACUUGCAGCCCCCUUUCAAUGUGGGACUUAACAUUUACAGGAUAAACAUUGGACUUUAGGAUUGCUAUUAUAGAGUGAAGUCUUAUGUUCAAUUCAAGUUUAAUUCGAUGUGGGACUUUGAGAUUAUAGACUAUGGGCCACUAUUGUCAAUGCAUAAUAAAUGAAUGAAAUCAACUUGGGUGGGAUUUCUUUAAUCCAUCUCAUGAAGUAUUAUUGAGCUAGAAUAAAAAGUAAGCAACAAGUAUUAUUGGCAGCCACCAGCUAAGCUAAUAUCGUGACCUGUGCAAAUCUUACUCCAUCUACCUCUCAAAGAACAAGACCAACACACCCUCCCCCUCCAUGUGUUUGAUUGCGGUUUGAGUUCGAUUUUAUUCAUUCCAUUCACAUGGUUUGGGUUUGAGAUCUGGGAGUACUGAACUUCAUAUAACACUCAAUUGUACUCAAUGUAGUCUAUAUAUGCAUUUGUGUUGGAAGAAGGGUCUUGAGUUACUCUUCUUUUAGAUGUUUCAUCGUAAUAUUGUGUGAAUUACUUAAAGAUUAUGAUUAUAGCUAUAUUGUUUUUGCUGUGUUUUAGCUUGAGAUCUUGUACUUGUGUCUAGGGUAGUUCCAGUGUGCGUUUUCGGUAUGAAUUGGCUUCAAAUUUCAUUUUUUUUAUGGGAUAAGUUCAAAUGUCUAAAACUAAUGCCCCUUUAUGUGGAUUUUACUGUUCGUCUCCAGAUAUGUAGUCACACAGGGUUGUAUGAUGGAUCUGCUUACAUAAUUUAACAUGGGUUUUAUUUUUCUUUCUCCCAGUCUUUAGUUGUACUAGUUCUUAGUUGUACUAUAGGAAUGAGAGGCAUUUAGUUCAUUGCAUUUUUGUUUCAAAGUCCCACAUAGUCUGUUAACAUCUCUUGUCCCUACUUUUCUUCUAUAAAUAGAGGAGAGGUCAAGUUCGAAAUUUUCAAGUACAAUGCACUUGAGCUUGUGUUGGGUUUGGCUAAGCAUGGCAUAGUCCCACAUAGUCUAGUAAAAACUUUUUUGUCCUUGCCUUUCUUUAAUAAAUGGAGGUUUGGCUAAGCCUGACAUAGUGCCACAUAGUCUAGUAAAAAGUUACUAGUAAAAAGUUAUUUGUCACACCUUUCUUUAAUAAAUGGAGGAGAAGUUGAGUUUAAUUUUUUUAAGUAGAGAGGACUUGGGCUCAUUUGGGCCUAAUGAGGCCUGGCUUGACCUGGCCUGUAGGCCUCAACAGGUCACAUUUUUUUGUUCUAAACCUGGCCUGGCCCGGCCCGGCCCGGCCUGCAGUCAAAAAGUCAAGGCCUGACCUGGCCUGGUCAACGGCUAAAGCGGCUUAGGCCGGACCAGGCCAGGCCGGCCUGUUGUGCAUCACUACUGUGCCACUCUAUUUUGUGUUGUCCCAGAAAUAUUAAGCGACUUUGUUGCACAUAUCAAUGCACUUAUAGUUCAUUUUGGCUAUCAAUGUUAAGGGUAUAAUGGGGAAAAAGUAAAGUAUUGGUGAAGGACUCAUAUUCCUUAAAUAAGGAGACAUAGUAGUAGACUGUUGACUGUAAUACUUACCUGAAUUGUGGGAUUGUCAUUCAUAUAACUUGGCUAAAUAAAGAGAUGUAGUAAUAGACUUGAAAACUGUGAUUAAGAAAAAGAUACUCAAGUACACUACAAUCUCAAGAAUUUAAUGGAUCAUGGAAAGACCGAAAGAGUGAGUUAAAAAUAAAGGAAAAGGAAAAAGUAAAGAAAGUGAAAGGCACACUGAGUUUUAACAUCACGUAUGAGGUUGAGGUGUGUUGAAGUUAUAUGGUUAAAAUUGUGUUCGUUUAAAGGAUAUCCUUUUCAUUUUUUUUAUCCUUCUCUUUUUCUGAGAUUAGAACAUAUUGUAAGAAAAUGAGGCGAUAGUUUUUAGUUUUUUUGUGAAUAAAUAAUUCACAAGAAUGAGCUUAUCAUCCGGAACCUGAGCCCGAAGAAUGCAACAUGACAUGCCUGAAAUACAAAGUACAUGUAUGUUUGUUUAAAUCCAAGAUUAAUCAAAUUUGAGGUUGGACUACCCACCAAAAAAACUUGAGGUUGGAGUAGGGUAAUUCAGCCCAUCUCCAUACUGACAACCUUUAAAUGAGGGGUCUUUACCCUACUGUGAUGGUGUGAUAGACAUGGGUAAUUCAUCCACACUAACAUUGGAACCCUAAAAAUUAUUUAAACAUAUGCAUAUCAGCGUGAUAAUAAUUUGUCUCCUAGUUGGAUGGAUUCAUUAGUUUUGCAUUCAUGUUAGCUGAUUUGGCACGCAGUCCUCAAAGAUACAAAUAUUUAGUAUCUGAUUUACUUUCUUAAAUGCAUUAAAGGAAUUUAUACCUUAUUCUUGGGAUGGGAAAAUUUCUAGUUGCUUUAACUUUUAUACGGAAUUUAUUGGUCUUAUUCCUCUUUGAACUAUUUUUAAUUAUGUAUCCUUUGUAACAAGGAUUUAUUCAUCGAUUAUGGAUCAGGUUAGGAGGCUCUUGGAUGAUGAGCCUGGGAACUCGGAGUAUGAAGAUAUGGAAAAGGAGCUUGCAGAGGUGACUUUAUUCUUUUUGGCCCUAUUUAUUAAUUCAUCCAUUAUAAUAUUCUUUGGAUACGUGACACUUAAAUUAUUUUCAUCACCCACAAAUGUAGAGUAGAGCUUCUAGAGUUUGUCUGAGGACCUUAGUAGUUGAACUAAUGUUUUUAUGAAAAUAGAACACCCUCUAGUAAAUGUUAAAAGGUGUUCAUAGAACUGAUCAGACUUUGUUCUCUUUCUGUGUCUUUGUCUGCCUGUCUGUGUGUGCGCUUGUGAUAAUUAUGUUUGCUGAAACAAGUAAGUCUAUAAUAUUUUUGUAAGUCAUACAUCAAUUAAUUGCAAAUGAGUGAAUGACAUUUUCUUUAUCCCUGGGUUCACAAGGUGAGUAUUAUUUUUUUAAUAAUAAGCCUUGCACACAACUCUUUGAAGAAUCUGUAGAAAUUAUUCUAGAAAGUUAAUCGAGAUGUCCAUCACUUGUAUCUUGGUUCCUGUGCAGGUGUGCUAUAUGUCGUGAUGGCCAGUUUCCUUCUGUGUCUCCUGAUUUCAGAUGUUCACACUAAGAUUCUAAGUUCGACAUCCAUGACAUUUAGCUUUUCUGUUGUGAAAACUUGUGAUAUUAAUUAUUGACUUGGCUAAAUCUUUUGAGGGUGCAGGUAAUCUCUUUGACGGAAGAACUCCUGGAAACUGCAAAGCAAAGCAAUAAAUCAGGAUUGACUUUUGGAACAGAUGCUGAUGUAUCUCCUAGUUUGCACCGUCCUGGAGGAACCUUUCAACAUUAUCUGGUAAGUCUUUUCUGAAGUUCACUACAUAUUUCCUAUUAAAUUCAGAAAAAAUACAAACCACAUAUUAUAUUUUUUACUUGGUGCCCUUCUUUGAUUGAGAGAUAGUUUGUCUAUAGCAUGAAGUCAAUUCCUUUCCCUCUAGGGUGGUGAUUGAAGCAAUUUUGUACUCACUUUCAUAUUUUUAAUGUCUGUUUUUGUUUUAUCAAUCAGGAUUCAGAUACAAUGUCUGAUCAAUCGGACAAACUCCCUGUUGGCACUAAAAUUCAAGCUGUAUGGAGCGAAGAUGGAGAGUGGUGACCAUAUCUUUUUCUCCCUUUAAAAAACCUUCUUAUUUUUCAGCCUUUUCCCAGUUUUGCUUUAGUUUUACAGAUUCUUUUCUUUUUCUGUGUUUGAUUUAGUUGAAUGUUCAGGUAUGAUGCAACGAUCGAGGCACUUACACCAAAUGGCUAUUUAGUGUCCUAUGAGGGGUGGGGCAAUAAAGAAGAGGUAUGUGCCUACAACAACACAUUUGAUAAUAAUCGUGCUUUGACUCAUUGUAAUAUUCUCCAUCAUCAUUUUUAAAAAAAAAAUGGAAUUUAUCCCAUCUCUUUUAGUUCUGUCGUCCUGGUUGGUAUCUGAAAUCUUCUCAUUAUGUUGUCUUCGACACAUACUACUAUAUUUCCUUGUGCACCAAUAAAGAAUAAUUAUUUUUUUCCCUUGUAUUUUCUCCUUGGGGUGGUAUAUUGUAUGGCUGCAGCCUGCAAGUCAGUUGAGCUGUAGGAUGUUCGGGCUUGGGUUAACUAAGAUUCCAUCCCAAUCAAGCUCAGUUUGAUUUCAGUUAAGUGUUGGGUUCUUCUGGUCAAGGUCGGCUGAUGGCUGUGCAUAUGCCUAAAUGGUUCAUGAGCCUGCUCAGCUUACGCUCAUUACACAACUUUUCUUGUCUCAUUAGACAACAAUAAUUUUUAGGGCUUUAAAACGAUCCUAGCUACUUGAGCGACUUGUGAUUUACUUGUUUAGGAUUGUCCGAUAACGGUUUGAAAGAGAAACAAGCCAUAACUUACCAGAUUUUUGAGCUCGUGGAUGUGGUUAGUUAAUUGAUUUGUUUCUGAUAUAUUAUUCACGUUUUCCUACUUGCAUCCUCUUUACUGCUAUUUGAUUAAAACAAAAUUGUUUACUUAUAAGAAGUUAUACGCAAAGUACAGUCUCUAUUUGCUUCUACUUCUAUAAUUGCAGUUUAUCAUUGUUUGGUUAUUUAUUUGAAAGAUCACAUGGAUCAUAGUGUGGUACUGAUUAUUAGUACUUCCAGGUGGAUCCUGAUAACAUUAGGUCUUUACAAGAAGGAGCUGUCGAUGCUCUUUUAGAAGCUGAGAAGGAAGCUGAGGCUACAAAGCUUGCUCUUAAGCGGAAAAUUGCUCAAGCUGCUUCUUCUGAUGCUGACUUCCAGUCACGAAGUUUACCAGCAAAGCUGCGAAUUGAACCUGAAGACCCUGAAGAUGUGGUGAGUAUGUUUGUUUUGUUUUUGUGGUUUGUGGUGAGUAUGCGUCAUAUCCAAUUUUUGAGAACUGUUAAGGGACACGAGUUAUACGAUUCCCCCUUACUACUAGUUGUUUUCUAGGCAAUUGAUGCAAUCAAAUUACCUCGACUGCUUUAUAUUAAGCAGUUGUUGAGAUUCGGUUGCCAAGUAUAAUAUUGGCCAGACUCUGAGCAUCCCAGUUUGGUGAUUGUAUGUGGUUCAGGAUCUAGCUUCCUAACUUUAUGGGAAAAUGAAACUGGAGCUCCAUAACUUCCCCUUGAAUUUGGAGUGUUCCAAUUUUAAUUUUGAGUGACCUUCCUGGUUUUUCAGUCCUUGGAAUAAUGCCAAGUUGUGGCAAAAUAGUUAGCUGUCUUCUUGUUUUACCUUGAUAAAUGUCUUCGAUUAUUUAUGUGCUGUAUUUGCCUUGUUAUCUUCCCUAUUGUCUACAGAAAGCAACCAAACGUAAGAAGAUACAUGCUUUCAAGUCAAAGAUGCGGAUGGAGCAACUUGAGGUGACACAGAAUAAGAGGCAGAAUGCUUGGCAACAAUUCCAGACCACCAAAGGUCGGGCUAAGAAGGUAUGCUCUUCAGAAUUUUGCAUUGCAAAAUGUUGGUCAUCCUAAAAGUAAUGGCAUUACUUUAUAUAAUAGCUUGUAAGGUACCUAUCCACGAGUAAAUCUGGCAAUACUGAAAUUUUUAGGACAUUAACUCAGUAAAACUCAGCAGAAGCAAUAUUUGUUAUGCCCUACAUUAUGAUGUUUCCUAGGUUCAGAAAAUUAUAGGAUAGAUAGCCAGCCAUGUGUUGGAGGUGAUGAGAGUGUCGGGAAUAAAAAAAGGCAGGAGCGGAAGUAAGGGAAGGGGUAGCGGAGAAAGGAGGGAGGGAUUAAAGCCAGUGUUCUAAAAGUCGCUAGUCGGUCCUAUGUCGGUUGGCUACCGACUAGCGACUAGGGGAUUAAUCGGCUAGUCGGAUUUUCAAUUUUAAAAAAAAUAUAUAUAUUCUCCUUCCUCCUUCGUAAGUUUUGAAUAAGUAGAAUAACAUAAGUAACACAAAUCAUCAAAUAAUUUAAUAAUUUAAUUUAUAACUGAAGUUGAAAAAAUUUAAAACUUUAAAUGAAAUAUUACAAUUAACUAAAAAUUAACUAAUUUAAUUUAUCCAACCUUUUCUUUAAUGCUUAUGCCUAAGCCUUAUAUCAGUAUGCCUAAGACUUAUAACAAAACUUAGUUUACUGCUUAUGUCUAAGCCUUAUAUCAGUAUUCAGAAGCUGAGAGAGAGAGAGACGAGCCGGAUGAGCAGCAGUCGAAGAUGAAGAGCAGGCGAGCAGCAACAGUCGUCGUCGUCGGAGCAGCAACAGCCGUCGGUCGAAGAUCCAGUCGUCGGCGUCGUCGGUCGAAGAUCCAGGCGGCGUCGGCAUCGUCAGCGGUCGAAGAUCCAGUUGUCGUCGUCGGCAGCAACAGUUGUCGUCGUCGGCAGUCGUCGUCAAAGAAGAUCCAGUCGUCGGUCGAGGAUCCAGUCGUCGUCGUCGAAGAAGAUCCAGUCGUUCCGAUUUUCCCUGACUUUACCGACUAGCCGAUUUGAUCCCGACUAAGUCGGUCAGCGACUAAUCAAAAGACUAGGGCCUGGUCGACUCGGCGAGCCUCCGACCCCGACCUAGUCGGCCGACUAGUCGGCCGACUAGACCGACUUUUAGAACACUGAUUAAAGCUUUGAGCAUCCAUUGAUAUGACAUGCAAAUCAAAUUUUCAGAGAUCCUAAUUGAUAUCCAGUGAUCAAAUUUAAAGCCAAUUUAAGAAAAUAUUAUUUGACAAGAAGAGUCAUUUGAGCAACUAGCAGAAAAAAUUAAUGGAGUUGGUGGAAAGUAACAGCAAUAACAUGAAAACAUCACAUUAUGAGUGCAUAACAUGUGCAGUGUAUCCAACUUUUAAACAGAAUAAAGAACUGUGGCACCUAUGUACUAGCAGCAGGCAAUUGAGCAUUGCGUCUCCCUUUUUGAGGUGGACAUCAGACAUCAGAUAUCAGAUACAGCUCAAGCUAGCCCUGGUUGUUGAAGUACUUGGUCACUUUUAUGUCUCACUUUGGCUAUAUGGCAUCAUCCAGAACUAUUUACUCUCUUAAUGAGCAAGUUACUGGGUAUGGGUCAUAUUCACAUGAACUUUGCCAUAGGAUUUCAAUCUGCCCUUCCAAGCCUGACUAUCCUAGGUGGCUAGGUCUUUGCAUAAAAGUUGAGUCCAGUUCACCAAAGAGGUAUCUUAGCAGCUUCCUUCCUAGCAGUAUUUUCUUGUUUUGGCAACUAUGCCUUACAUAUAUUCAGUCUGUAGUUAAAUUUAUCCUACAAGCUUCUCUCAUCACAGUUUCUAAUUAAUUGCAAUUAUUUUAUCAACGAACUAGUAAUGUAUCUUGAUCUUGUUUCAUUUGUCUACAAGUCCUGGCUUGAUUAGCCUAGUGCAGGGUAAGUGGGUAACACCUGUUUACAAAUUUCAUUAAUGUUCAUUAUAGUUUAAUCUCCUGGCAUAUUUUCAUUUUUGACUUUCUAGUAGAAGUACUUCAAUAUAGACGUUGGAGUCUGUAUCCUGUUCAAGAUGGUAACCUUCUCUGCUGUAUUUUGCAAAAAACGUGUCUAGAUUUGCGGAUGGUUUUCACUCUACGAUCUGUAAAUUUUUGUUUUUUUCCCACUUACAUAGAGGUAAGGCUGCCUACAUUCGGCCUUCCCCAGGCCCAUCACCCCAAGUUAAGUCCGUGAAAUAAUGUUUGACAUGUAGGCUAUGAUAGUGUAAUCUAGAAGAAAAUUGAUUUACAUUUGAGUGCUUAUUUCAUAUUUUUCUAUAACUUCUGGUUGUACUAAUCUGGCAUUCCCCCUCCCCCCCACCACCCCCAGAUUGGUUUCUUCUCGGGUCGUAAAAAGGAGAGCAUCUUCAAGUCUCCAGAUGAUCCUUUUGGAAAGGUUGGCGUUACCGGAAGUGGGAAAGGUUUGACAGAGUUUCAGAAGAGGGAAAAACACUUGCAUCUCAAGGGAGCAAAUGCUGAGGGCACAGAUGAGUAGAGAUAGUUGAGGAGGUGCACUGAUUUCCUAAUGUAUGUUAUAUAUAUAGGGUACUAUUAUUAUGUUUUUCAGUCUCUUGCAUUAGCAAAUAGUCUUGGCUUUUAUGCAGAAGCAUUGUGCUAGCUAGAUUUCCAUAACAAAGGAAGUAGGUUCUGAACCUCAGAAAAGCUCUUCAUUUCAACUCAUGGGGUUUAUGGUUUUGUUUUGGUUAAUCAAUAUUGCUUCUUAUCUCUAACCCUUUAUAAUUAAUGAUUGUAAUCAGAUUUUGAGGUGUUAGUGUUUCAUCAUCCGUUUAUUAAUUUAAUGAUGCACGUUUAAUUAAGUUACAAUACAGGCAUAAUAUGAGUAAUCAUUAAGAUAAUACUAGUCUUAAUUAAUUAUACUCCUUCCGUCCAAGUUAAUUGUCUAUUUACCUUAAGUUAUCUAUUUUUUUAUAAUAAUUUGCCUAUAAUACCCUUAUUAUUAAUUGUUAUAUUUCUAUUCUCUAUGUAUAUUUAUAGAGCAUCACUAGUAAUGUGCAGAAACUAUGCAAUUAUAUGAGAAUUUAAAUAUGGAUAAUUUUGUUAUUUGAUCUUUCUUAAUAUACGCAAAAAAUCAACUAGGAUUUUUAUCCUGGAUUGAGGUAGUAUAGUUGAUUGAGAAGGGGUAGGAAUUCAAUAUAUUCUAGGUGACAUGCGUCUGCAGAUUAGCAAUGCAUCGAAAACAAUAACAAAGAAAUUGAAAGAAAAUAAACAUACAAGUGGUUCACCCAAGUAUUGGGUUAGUAUUUGUUGAUGGUGAUAAAUUAAUAAACACUAUUUUGAUAUUUUUAUAUGAUUCUCCCUCACCUAAAGUGAGACCCACUUUAUAAAAUAUCAAAAAACACGUGAAAAUAUCACUUCCAUUAUCAGAAAACUAAACUUGCAGUGCUGGAUUUAUAUAUUAUGAGUACGUAGUUUAAUAGUUAUUUCUAAAUUAAGCUGGCCUAGGCAUUACCAAUAACAUUAAGAAAGCUUUACAUGAAAAUGGGAGCCCAAGAAUCAUACUUGACAUAAUAUUAAAUUUCAAUUACUUUUAGAAAACAUUUUUUCCACCAAAUCUUUACUUGAAUUAUUUAGUAUGAGCCUUAAUAAAGCUUUUACUAAAUCUAAUAUCCCUUGUCCCCAAAAAAAAGAAAAAAAAACAGAGAGAAGAAGUUCCUUCUCUUCCUCUCUCUUGAUAUAAAUCCGGCUUGCAGUAAUUAUAUCCAUUUGCUGUAUAAUAGGAAUACAUGUAGGUAGAGCUUUAUGCCAUGAAGGGGCCAUGCAUGCUAGUCUUUUAUGCAACAUUUUCAGGAGCAUUGAAUCAGUGGUGAAAGGAGAACAGGAAUAUAUAUAUAUAUAUGGGGUUCCAUCUAUAGCAACCGGUUGCUGUAGAACAACCUUUUUUUUGGCCUAUGAAAUUUCGACUGAAACAAUAAAAAAAAAAUUAAAAAAAUUCAUAAGCCAAAAAUAGAAUUGCUCUACAGCAUGCCCUAUAUAUAUAUAUAUAUAUAUAUAUAUAUAUAUAUAUAUAUAUAUAUAUAUAGAGCCCGGAUCAGAGGCAUUCCGCUUAAAUGACAUUAUCCCUUAAACGACAUUACCUAUUUAAGCCUCCGUGUUUUUCCAGUUUAACAUUCUCUCUCCUCUGCCCAAAACAAAAUUUGAGCUGCGAUGCUCUAUUUCUCUCCUUCACAAAACCUUCCUAGCAAAAUUCGAAUCAAGCAAGAAGACGGAGACCAAGAAUCGAAGUUUAUGCCCAGAUCUCGACUUCGAUUCCGUAUACCCUUUCUUUGUUUGUGUAAUUUCGGUAAGAAUUGACCCAUCAUUUUAUUCGUAUUGAUCUUCCUUGUUGAUCUUCCUUUCUUUAUUUGUUGUUGUUUUUUUACACAGAUUAGAGAUAUUUAUACAUGUAAUGGGUAUAAAUCGAAGAACAGUUGUAUUCUCAUUAUACAAUAAAAUAAAUGUGUAAAUAUCGAGAGAGAGAGAGAGACGGACAGUUUAUCGGCUUUGAUGAUUACCUUCUCGGGAGCAUAAACCCAUUACAUGUAUAAAUAUCUCUAAUCUGUGUAAAAAAACAACAACAAAUAAAGAAAGGAAGAUCAACAAGGAAGAUCAAUACGAAUAAAAUGAUGGGUCAAUUCUUACCGAAAUUACACAAACAAAGAAAGGGUAUACGGAAUCGAAGUCGAGAUCUGGGCAUAAACUUCGAUUCUUGGUCUCCGUCUUCUUGCUUGAUUCGAAUUUUGCUAGGAAGGUUUUGUGAAGGAGAGAAAUAGAGCAUCGCAGCUCAAAUUUUGUUUUGGGCAGAGGAGAGAGAAUGUUAAACUGGAAAAACACGGAGGCUUAAAUAGGUAAUGUCGUUUAAGGGAUAAUGUCGUUUAAGCGGAAUGCCUCUGAUCCGGGCUCUCUCUCUCUCUCUCUCUCUCUCUCUCUCUCUCUAUAUAUAUAUAUAUAUAUAUAUAUAUAUAUAUAUAUAUAUAUAUAUAUAGCUAGC
RNAcentral lists this long non-coding RNA (12271 nucleotides) under Panax ginseng (ginseng). RNAcentral describes it as "long non-coding RNA (PGIN_LNC008290)". Lineage: Eukaryota; Viridiplantae; Streptophyta; Magnoliopsida; Apiales; Araliaceae. The record is from RNAcentral.